ACCUACGGGAGGCAGCAGUGAGGAAUAUUGGUCAAUGGGCUUACGCCUGAACCAGCCAAGUCGCGUGAGGGAAGACUGCCCUAUGGGUUGUAAACCUCUUUUGUCAGGGAGCAACGCCGGCUACGUGUAGCCGGACUGAGAGUACCUGAAGAAAAAGCAUCGGCUAACUCCGUGCCAGCAGCCGCGGUAAUACGGAGGAUGCGAGCGUUAUCCGGAUUUAUUGGGUUUAAAGGGUGCGCAGGCGGGCUGUUAAGCCGGCGGUAAAAAUUCAGGGCUCAACCCUGUCGAGCCGUCGGAACUGGCAG
Molecule: ribosomal RNA, 305 nt
Filed under: uncultured bacterium
Lineage: Bacteria
Description: bacterial SSU rRNA
Rfam family: Bacterial small subunit ribosomal RNA
Source: RNAcentral